CGAUGUUGGGAUAUUGGCAGGCUAGGGCAGCAAAUUGUCGUGAAAGGUGGAUGAACCAGCAUCUUUUGAUUCCUUGUUACCUUUACUGUCAAAAUUUAACACGAAUGCUCAACUCUUCAAGAAGAUCGUUGGAUUUUAAAAUUGGACACCGCUAAUUUUCGUCCCCUGUUCUCUCACUACAUCCAUUUAACUUGGGCCCAAGGGGUCACAAAUCCAACGGCAUCUUUGGCACGGUGAGCAUAUCUCAGGAAUUUCAGUUCCGAAACCUAGUCAAGUUCCAAAAAUACUGUUUCUAAAAACUUUGUUGAGUCGCCUGGAAGCUGUAAAUCACAACACCAACAACAAACAAUCCCUUGCCUCCAAAAUUCAGUGCCCCCCAUUGAGAGCACAGGCUUCAAUGGAUAAAAAGCGGAGGUAGAUGGAUGCGGGGAAAUGUUCAAAGAACCUGAACAAUGACUAUUUCUGAGGG
Molecule: small RNA, 469 nt
Filed under: Histoplasma capsulatum var. duboisii H88
Lineage: Eukaryota; Fungi; Ascomycota; Eurotiomycetes; Onygenales; Ajellomycetaceae
Description: Histoplasma capsulatum H88 hypothetical RNA
Source: RNAcentral